This 148-nucleotide signal recognition particle RNA is filed under the name Chlorocebus sabaeus (green monkey). Its description in RNAcentral is "Metazoan signal recognition particle RNA". It matches the Rfam family "Metazoan signal recognition particle RNA". From Rfam's summary of the family: The signal recognition particle (SRP) is a universally conserved ribonucleoprotein. It is involved in the co-translational targeting of proteins to membranes. The record is from Rfam by way of RNAcentral. Lineage: Eukaryota; Metazoa; Chordata; Mammalia; Primates; Cercopithecidae.
GCCGGGCGCGGUGGCGGGCGCCUGUAAUCCCAGCUACUCAGGAGGCUGAGACAGGAGAAUCGCUUGAGCCUGGGAAGUGGAGGUUGUAGUGAGCUGAGCUCGCGCCACUGCACUCCAGCCUGGGCAACAGAGUGAGACCCUGUCUCCG